Molecule: ribosomal RNA, 498 nt
Filed under: uncultured bacterium
Lineage: Bacteria
Description: partial 16S ribosomal RNA
Rfam family: Bacterial small subunit ribosomal RNA
Source: RNAcentral
AUUGAACGCUGGCGGCAUGCCUUACACAUGCAAGUCGAACGGUAACGCGGGGCAACCUGGCGACGAGUGGCGAACGGGUGAGUAAUGUAUCGGAACGUGCCCAGUUGUGGGGGAUAACUGCUCGAAAGAGCAGCUAAUACCGCAUACGACCUGAGGGUGAAAGCGGGGGAUCGCAAGACCUCGCGCAAUUGGAGCGGCCGAUAUCAGAUUAGGUAGUUGGUGGGGUAAAGGCUCACCAAGCUGACGAUCUGUAGCUGGUCUGAGAGGAAGACCAGCAACACUGGGACUGAGACACGGCCCAGACUCCUACGGGAGGCAGCAGUGGGGAAUUUUGGACAAUGGACGCAAGUCUGAUCCAGCCAUGCCGCGUGCGGGAAGAAGGCCUUCGGGUUGUAAACCGCUUUUGUCAGGGAAGAAAAGGCUCCUUCUAAUAUAGGGGGCUCAUGACGGUACCUGAAGAAUAAGCACCGGCUAACUACGUGCCAGCCGCCGCGGUAA